Molecule: non-coding RNA, 72 nt
Organism: Biomphalaria glabrata
Lineage: Eukaryota; Metazoa; Mollusca; Gastropoda; Planorbidae
Source: Rfam
GGCGCGGUGGCUGAGUGGUAAAGCGCUUGGUUUCUGAGCCAAGGGUUCCGGGUUUGAAUCCUGGCCAAGACU